Molecule: ribosomal RNA, 464 nt
Filed under: uncultured bacterium
Lineage: Bacteria
Description: bacterial SSU rRNA
Rfam family: Bacterial small subunit ribosomal RNA
Source: RNAcentral
UCCUACGGGAGGCAGCAGUGGGGAAUAUUGGACAAUGGGCGCAAGCCUGAUCCAGCCAUGCCGCGUGUGUGAAGAAGGCCUUCGGGUUGUAAAGCACUUUUGUUGGGAAAGAAAUCCUGUCGGUUAAUACCCGGCGGGGCUGACGGUACCCAAAGAAUAAGCACCGGCUAACUUCGUGCCAGCAGCCGCGGUAAUACGAAGGGUGCAAGCGUUACUCGGAAUUACUGGGCGUAAAGCGUGCGUAGGUGGUUUGUUAAGUCAGAUGUGAAAGCCCCGGGCUCAACCUGGGAAUUGCAUUUGAUACUGGCAGACUAGAGUGCGGUAGAGGAGAGUGGAAUUCCCGGUGUAGCAGUGAAAUGCGUAGAGAUCGGGAGGAACAUCAGUUGCGAAGGCGGCUCUCUGGACCAGCACUGACACUGAGGCACGAAAGCGUGGGGAGCAAACAGGAUUAGAUACCCUGGUAG